Molecule: ribosomal RNA, 2900 nt
Filed under: Klebsiella pneumoniae
Lineage: Bacteria; Pseudomonadati; Pseudomonadota; Gammaproteobacteria; Enterobacterales; Enterobacteriaceae
Description: bacterial LSU rRNA
Rfam family: Bacterial large subunit ribosomal RNA
Source: RNAcentral
UUAAGCGACUAAGCGUACACGGUGGAUGCCCUGGCAGUCAGAGGCGAUGAAGGACGUGCUAAUCUGCGAAAAGCGUCGGUAAGGUGAUAUGAACCGUUAUAACCGGCGAUGUCCGAAUGGGGAAACCCAGUGCAAUUCGUUGCACUAUCGUUAACUGAAUACAUAGGUUAACGAGGCGAACCGGGGGAACUGAAACAUCUAAGUACCCCGAGGAAAAGAAAUCAACCGAGAUUCCCCCAGUAGCGGCGAGCGAACGGGGAGCAGCCCAGAGUCUGAAUCAGCUUGUGUGUUAGUGGAACGGUCUGGAAAGUCCGACGGUACAGGGUGAUAGUCCCGUACACCAAAAUGCACAGGUUGUGAACUCGAAGAGUAGGGCGGGACACGUGGUAUCCUGUCUGAAUAUGGGGGGACCAUCCUCCAAGGCUAAAUACUCCUGACUGACCGAUAGUGAACCAGUACCGUGAGGGAAAGGCGAAAAGAACCCCGGCGAGGGGAGUGAAAAAGAACCUGAAACCGUGUACGUACAAGCAGUGGGAGCACCUUCGGGUGUGACUGCGUACCUUUUGUAUAAUGGGUCAGCGACUUAUAUUCUGUAGCAAGGUUAACCGUAUAGGGGAGCCGCAGGGAAACCGAGUCUUAACUGGGCGUUAAGUUGCAGGGUAUAGACCCGAAACCCGGUGAUCUAGCCAUGGGCAGGUUGAAGGUUGGGUAACACUAACUGGAGGACCGAACCGACUAAUGUUGAAAAAUUAGCGGAUGACUUGUGGCUGGGGGUGAAAGGCCAAUCAAACCGGGAGAUAGCUGGUUCUCCCCGAAAGCUAUUUAGGUAGCGCCUCGUGAAUUCAUCUUCGGGGGUAGAGCACUGUUUCGGCUAGGGGGUCAUCCCGACUUACCAACCCGAUGCAAACUACGAAUACCGAAGAAUGUUAUCACGGGAGACACACGGCGGGUGCUAACGUCCGUCGUGAAGAGGGAAACAACCCAGACCGCCAGCUAAGGUCCCAAAGUCAUGGUUAAGUGGGAAACGAUGUGGGAAGGCACAGACAGCCAGGAUGUUGGCUUAGAAGCAGCCAUCAUUUAAAGAAAGCGUAAUAGCUCACUGGUCGAGUCGGCCUGCGCGGAAGAUGUAACGGGGCUAAACCAUGCACCGAAGCUGCGGCAGCGACACUAUGUGUUGUUGGGUAGGGGAGCGUUCUGUAAGCCUGCGAAGGUGACCUGUGAGGGUUGCUGGAGGUAUCAGAAGUGCGAAUGCUGACAUAAGUAACGAUAAAGCGGGUGAAAAGCCCGCUCGCCGGAAGACCAAGGGUUCCUGUCCAACGUUAAUCGGGGCAGGGUGAGUCGACCCCUAAGGCGAGGCCGAAAGGCGUAGUCGAUGGGAAACAGGUUAAUAUUCCUGUACUUGGUGUUACUGCGAAGGGGGGACGGAGAAGGCUAUGUUAGCCGGGCGACGGUUGUCCCGGUUUAAGCAUGUAGGCUGGUUGUCCAGGCAAAUCCGGAUAAUCAAGGCUGAGGUGUGAUGACGAGGCACUACGGUGCUGAAGUAACAAAUGCCCUGCUUCCAGGAAAAGCCUCUAAGCAUCAGGUAACAUCAAAUCGUACCCCAAACCGACACAGGUGGUCAGGUAGAGAAUACCAAGGCGCUUGAGAGAACUCGGGUGAAGGAACUAGGCAAAAUGGUGCCGUAACUUCGGGAGAAGGCACGCUGGUGUGUAGGUGAAGUCCCUGCGGAUGGAGCUGAGACCAGUCGAAGAUACCAGCUGGCUGCAACUGUUUAUUAAAAACACAGCACUGUGCAAACACGAAAGUGGACGUAUACGGUGUGACGCCUGCCCGGUGCCGGAAGGUUAAUUGAUGGGGUUAUCCGUAAGGAGAAGCUCUUGAUCGAAGCCCCGGUAAACGGCGGCCGUAACUAUAACGGUCCUAAGGUAGCGAAAUUCCUUGUCGGGUAAGUUCCGACCUGCACGAAUGGCGUAAUGAUGGCCAGGCUGUCUCCACCCGAGACUCAGUGAAAUUGAACUCGCUGUGAAGAUGCAGUGUACCCGCGGCAAGACGGAAAGACCCCGUGAACCUUUACUAUAGCUUGACACUGAACAUUGAGCCUUGAUGUGUAGGAUAGGUGGGAGGCUUUGAAGCGUGGACGCCAGUCUGCGUGGAGCCAACCUUGAAAUACCACCCUUUAAUGUUUGAUGUUCUAACGUUGGCCCCUGAUCGGGGUUGCGGACAGUGUCUGGUGGGUAGUUUGACUGGGGCGGUCUCCUCCCAAAGCGUAACGGAGGAGCACGAAGGUUAGCUAAUCCUGGUCGGACAUCAGGAGGUUAGUGCAAUGGCAUAAGCUAGCUUGACUGCGAGCGUGACGGCGCGAGCAGGUGCGAAAGCAGGUCAUAGUGAUCCGGUGGUUCUGAAUGGAAGGGCCAUCGCUCAACGGAUAAAAGGUACUCCGGGGAUAACAGGCUGAUACCGCCCAAGAGUUCAUAUCGACGGCGGUGUUUGGCACCUCGAUGUCGGCUCAUCACAUCCUGGGGCUGAAGUAGGUCCCAAGGGUAUGGCUGUUCGCCAUUUAAAGUGGUACGCGAGCUGGGUUUAGAACGUCGUGAGACAGUUCGGUCCCUAUCUGCCGUGGGCGCUGGAGAAUUGAGGGGGGCUGCUCCUAGUACGAGAGGACCGGAGUGGACGCAUCACUGGUGUUCGGGUUGUCAUGCCAAUGGCACUGCCCGGUAGCUAAAUGCGGAAGAGAUAAGUGCUGAAAGCAUCUAAGCACGAAACUUGCCCCGAGAUGAGUUCUCCCUGAGACUUUAAGUCUCCUGAAGGAACGUUGAAGACGACGACGUUGAUAGGCCGGGUGUGUAAGCGCAGCGAUGCGUUGAGCUAACCGGUACUAAUGAACCGUGAGGCUUAACCUU